Molecule: transfer RNA, 72 nt
Filed under: Neurospora terricola FGSC 1889
Lineage: Eukaryota; Fungi; Ascomycota; Sordariomycetes; Sordariales; Sordariaceae
Description: tRNA-Gln (CTG) (tRNA-Gln-CTG-1-1)
Rfam family: tRNA
About the family: Transfer RNA (tRNA) molecules are approximately 80 nucleotides in length. Their secondary structure includes four short double-helical elements and three loops (D, anti-codon, and T loops).
Source: RNAcentral
GCUUGAUUAGUGUAGCGAUUAUCACUUCGGAUUCUGAUUCCGCCAACCCUGGUUCGAUUCCAGGAUCGAGCU